RNAcentral lists this ribosomal RNA (499 nucleotides) under uncultured bacterium. RNAcentral describes it as "partial 16S ribosomal RNA". It matches the Rfam family "Bacterial small subunit ribosomal RNA", at positions 29 to 523 of the family's 1533-position model. The record is from RNAcentral.
AUUGAACGCUGGCGGCAUGCCUUACACAUGCAAGUCGAACGGCAGCGCGGGCUUCGGCCUGGCGGCGAGUGGCGGACGGGUGAGUAAUGCAUCGGAACGUGCCCAGGAGUGGGGGAUAACGUAGCGAAAGUUACGCUAAUACCGCAUACGUACUGAGGUAGAAAGCGGGGGAUCGAAAGACCUCGCGCUCAUGGAGCGGCCGAUGUCGGAUUAGCUAGUUGGCGGGGUAAAAGCCCACCAAGGCGACGAUCCGUAGCUGGUCUGAGAGGACGACCAGCCACACUGGGACUGAGACACGGCCAGACUCCUACGGGAGGCAGCAGUGGGGAAUCUUGGACAAUGGGGGAAACCCUGAUCCAGCAAUGCCGCGUGUGGGAUGAAGGCCCUCGGGUUGUAAACCACUUUUGGCAGGAAAGAAAUCGCCUGUGCUAAUACCACGGGCGGAUGACGGUACCUGCAGAAUAAGCACCGGCUAACUACGUGCCAGCCGCCGCUGUAA